UACGGGGGGGGGCACGCGUUGUUCGGAAUUACUGGGCGUAAAGGGCUCUUAGGCGGCCAACUAAGUCAGACGUGAAAUCCCUCGGCUUAACCGGGGAACUGCGUCUGAUACUGGAUGGCUUGAGUUUGGGAGAGGGAUGCGGAAUUCCAGGUGUAGCGGUGAAAUGCGUAGAUAUCUGGAGGAACACCGGUGGCGAAGGCGGCAUCCGGGACCAACACUGACGCUGAGCGAGCGAAAGCCAGGGGAGCAAACGGG
This 255-nucleotide ribosomal RNA is filed under the name uncultured bacterium. RNAcentral's name for it is "partial 16S ribosomal RNA". It matches the Rfam family "Bacterial small subunit ribosomal RNA", at positions 524 to 776 of the family's 1533-position model. The record is from RNAcentral.